RNAcentral lists this long non-coding RNA (5043 nucleotides) under Brassica napus (rape). RNAcentral's name for it is "long non-coding RNA (BNAP_LNC000678)". Lineage: Eukaryota; Viridiplantae; Streptophyta; Magnoliopsida; Brassicales; Brassicaceae. The record is from RNAcentral.
UCCCGACAAUCGUCCAUCUAAUAGCUUUGGUGGUCCUAAUUGAUAGAAUAUUGCUUUAAGAGAUUGUCUUUUGAUGAUUCUGAAACAGCAAGAUCUGAUCUCCUGGGAUUUUGUGAUAUGGCAUUCGAUUACACUUUGGAAGAACAAGGUCAGAGCUUUGUUGUAAAGUUGAAAAUUAUUGUGGUCUUGAGGAUUGAGCAAAAUAAUUAAAGAAAAUGUUGUUUGAUAAUACUAUUUAAUUGGAGAAGAAGAUACGUUAGUUAGACGUAUCAGGAAAAAGAAGGGAAAUAAAUUUAAAAUAUGUUUGUUAGGGUACGAUACGGUAUGAAUCUGUAUUAAUAAUUUAUUUUAGUUUUUAUUAUACUUUUUAAACUAAAAUAUAAUUGACUUAUAUAAAAAGUAUUUAUAAUAUUUUUUUAAAUAUUUAUGUUAAAAUUGUAGACUUUAAAAUAAUUAUUUCUUAGCAAUUUAUUUGUGUAUAUUUUUUUUUUUACAACAAACGGCUAUUCUAUUACUCAAACUUGAAGUGAUUUAAUUAGGUAAUCAGACCAGAAUAAAACAAUCAAUAAAGCAAAGCUUUCUAUACAAAGACCUCGUAAUUCUAGAUAAAGAGUCACAAAUUUGAUUUUGCACUCAUGUAAUAUGAGUGAUCUUAGACAACCAAUAAAUUUGUGUAUAUUUAUAUAUCUAUAAAUAUUGUUUAAUAUAUAUAUAUAUUUAUGUACUUUAUAAAACAUAAUUUUUAAUUUUAAGACAUUAUAUAUAUAUAUUUUGAUGCAUGUAAACUAUUAAUAAACAAUUGUAAAUAUGCAUAAUGUUUAACUUUGAUUUGUACUCAUAAAUGUUUUACAAUGACGUGCGAUAGUUAUACAUAUAUAUAGGGGUGUCAAAAUGGGUCAAAUGGGUCAACCCAACCCAAAAUCCAAAUGGGUUUACUGUUAAUGAGUCAUGGGUCAACCCAACCCAUUUAUUAAAUAGGUUGGGUUGACCCAUGACCCAUUAAAUUAAAAAGGUUAGAUGGGUUAAUGGUUGACCCAUGGACCCAAUAUCUUUAUAAUAAAUUAUUUUUAAGUUAUGACCAAGUUGAUCAAAAUGAUAAAAUGUUUUUUGUGGUUUAGGCGGAAAAUAACAUUUUUGCGGGAAAGUGAAUUUUCCCAGUUUUGGCGGGAAAAUGCGUUUUUGCGGUUUUGGCGGGAAAACAUGUUUUUACGAUUUUGGCGGGAAAAUGCGUUUUUGCGGUUUUGGCGGAAAAAUGCAUUUUUGCGGUUUUGGCGGGAAAAUGCGUUUUUGCGGUGUUUUGGCGGGAAAAAGCAUUUUUGCGGUUGGCGGGAAAAUGCGUUUUUGCAGUUUUGGCGGGAAAAUGGAUUUUUGCGGUUUUGGCGGGAAAAUGCGGUUUUGGCGGGAAAAUGCGUUUUUGCGGUUUUGGCUGGAAAAUGGGGUUUUGAGGUUUUGGCGGAAAAAUGCGUUUUUGCAGUUUUGGCGGGAAAAUGGGGUUUUGAGGUUUUGGCGGGAAAAUACGUUUUUGCGGUUUUGGCGGGAAAAUGCGUUUUUUUGCGGUUUUGGCGGGAAAAUGCGUUUUUGCGGGAAAAUGGAUUUUUGCGAUUUUGGCGGGAAAAUGCAUUUUUGGAGGGAAAUUGCGUUUUUUGCGGUUUUGGCUGGAAAAUGGGGUUUUGAAGUUUUGGCGAAAAAUGCGUUUUUGCGGUUUUGGCGGGAAAAUACGUUUUGGCGGGAAAAUUGGUUUUUGCGGGAAUAAAUGAUUGAACUUUAGAGAAAUUCAUGAUUUUCCAAUUUUAUCAAACCUUAGAAUUGAGUUUACUCAUGGUUUUUUUUAAUUGAAAACAAAAUGGGUUAGAGUUGACCCAACCCAAUAAACCCAUUAACUUGUUAACCCAUUAACCUGUUAAUCCAUUAACCUGUUAAUCCAUUAAUCUGUUAACCCAUUAACCCAUUUGAUCAAAAAUAAACAGUUCAUUUGGGUUAAUGGGUCAAAUUGGGUUGGGUCAACCCNNNNNNNNNNNNNNNNNNNNNNNNNNNNNNNNNNNNNNNNNNNNNNNNNNNNNNNNNNNNNNNNNNNNNNNNNNNNNNNNNNNNNNNNNNNNNNNNNNNNAGCAUUCGAUGGGAGGAAGAUCCUUGCAAUACCAACAAAGCUUGUUCAUCCAAUUCACUCCAUAUAGGAGGAAGUAUUAGGAAAGAAGACUGAUUCAAACGAGGGAUAAGCGGGAAAUUAUAACCCGCCACAUCCAACUUAAAUAUGAAGAUGAGUUUCUCUUCUACCUGCCACCAAAAAGAGAGAUACACGAACAUAACACCAACACCCGGAAUAGAACCCGUAAGAGAACUGCAUACUGCAGACGAUCGCACCAAGGGGAUAAAAACGCUAUUAGAGGUCGCAAGAGUAGGACCAAAUAACACUAAACCCAUCCGUAUAUCACCGACUAAAGUCAUGAACCUCAAUUCCAACGUCACCCACACAAAUAGCUGUCUAAUCCAUUCUACAGUAGCAGAAUAACUGGAAAAGAAAGAGCUAAGAUGUACAUGAGGGACCUUAGAGCAUCCCCAUCAGUAAACUUAGGAGAGCUCGAUUUCCAAGACAAUUUUAAUGAUUUUUUAUUUUUUAUUUUACUUUUUUUUUGUUUAACUUAAAAAAAAAAUAGGCAGACCAAUCGUGGGCCGCCACGUGUCGUUGGACCCGCGAAACAGUAGUGAUACCGCCCCUUACGCAAAGAGUUGCAGGAUACAGGUUCACAAAAAAUAGUAUAUUAUAUUAUUUUGUUUUCUUGGAAUUUGUGUGAACUUCAGGUUAAAACCUUCAAUGGGCAUGCUCUUACAAGGAGGAGUGAUAGGAAGGUCGAAACAAGAACUGAAUAAAGAACAGUCAACACAUCCAAAUAUAGACCUGUAUAACACAGGAGAGAGAAGCCCGUAGGCCAAUAAAGUGUCACUUGCAGACACAUGAGCACCAGCACCACCUCCACUCUUUGUCGCUAUCCUACAUGGAAGCUUUACAGUUGAAAUCUGAAAUAAAGCUUGAAGAGAUGGUCCGGAGGAGGUGUCGCAGAAACGCAGAGGAGCGUUGAGAAAUAAAACGUCCGGAGGAUCUACAGGUUCCAGAGGGCACAUAGGAGAAGGAGCUUUAAGAGGAGGGUCUGGUGGUUCUGGCGGAGAGGGAGUUUUAAACGGCGGAUCUGGUGGAGGCGGAUCUGGCGGAGGGAAGGUUUCAAGCAGCGGUUUUAUCUUUUCCACCGGAAACAGAUAUGGAGGUUCUGGCUUCGAGGGUAGUACAUGAGGGCUCUUUGUCACUGAAACGCAAGCAGACUCUGAGACAUUGGAACGACGAGUUCUCACCGGAGGCAACGACCUAGGCGUGGGAGAGGCAGAGGCAAGUGAAAGGCUCGACCUUUGAGCUUUCAAUAGUUCUUCACCUCUCCGAGAAACGCUUCGGGUCAUCCUAGGUAGAAUCCCAACGAGGAGAAGCAUAGCUUCUUAAUGGGAGUUUCGGACGGAGGCGACGGCGGAGAGACCUUGCAGUGUGAAUCCAUGGAGAUCGGACGGAGACGACGGCGUCUUGGGUGGUGUGCCAGAGAGAAAAGUCUCUAGGGCGAACUCAGUUACUAUCAAAUAUGAUCAUAUAUAGUAGUUAUCAUUUCUUCUUUUCAUAUAUUUGAUGCUCAAGAAGAAGGCGAGAUAUAUAUAUAUAUAUAUAUAUUUUUUCUUAUAACGUUUACAGUCUUGAUUGAUGGCUUCCAAUCUGGAUACAUACGUACUAGGGCCUAGCUCGUGUUUUCGCAUGUUAGUAAUUACUAUGAUGAACUCAACAUUAUUUGUAUAUCUAUGUUUCAACUUGUUAUAAAAUUGAGCUAAAAUGUUUAAAUAAAUCACAAAAUUUAGUGUUUAAUUUGAUCACUUUUUUUUAUAAACUGUAACAAGAAAACCAAACAUGACCGGAAUGGAUACAAUUCACUUUGUAUAGUAAAAAUAUUCGGUAUAACCUAAAAAUGUUCACUAAAUGUUUUUCUAUCGUAACAUACAAAUGCAAACACAAAUGAACGUAGCUAAAUUAAGUAAGACUAAAGUAAGAUAAGUUUACCUCAGCUUGUAUGGUGUAAAUAACCCUGUCAUCAACAAUAGAGUAGAUGGCGUUAAGAAGGCAGAGACCAUUUUCACUAAGUACUUGAAGAACACUAGAAAGCCGUGGUUGGCCACCAUAGUAGCGGCUGCUAAACACUAUUUCCAGACCCGCCAAACAGUGACGAACCACCACAUGAUUCAUCAUCUUCAUCUCAUCCUUAGAAUCAUCAGAGAAGCUUCCUCUAGAGAGUAACAUGAGCUCAUCUCUCUUUGAACUCAGUUCCUUGAUCUUCUUAUGCAGAUACGUUAUGUAGUUCGCAGCCUCAUUCACUUGAUCAGAUGUGGAACGCUUACCCUAAGCAAAAAAUCCCGUCAAGAAACAAAGAAACCAAGAUAUUAAUAGAUCUAGUAUUAGGAAUCUCUUAAGAAAACCACUAUAGUGAAGUCAAAAGCACAAAGUCAAAACACUUGCGAUGAUCUCUUUUCAUUUUCUUACAUGGAAGACCAAGUCAAAUGACAAAGACUACGUACAGAUCUAAGGUAAUAAUAAAGCAUCAAAAUCUGGAUUAGGGUUAUAAGAACUGGGUAGUGACCUGAAUGAAGUGAAGAGGGAGAAGGGAACGAAGAGAAGCAUAAAGAGAAGCCAUUUCUUGUCUUCUUUGUCUCUCGAUUUCUCUAUGCAUCAUCUUCUCCAUGUCGUUAUUAUCAGUACUUACUCUCAGUUUCGUACACCGUCUUCUCUUCUCCCGACAAUCGUCCAUCUAAUAGCUUUGGUGGUCCUAAUUGAUAGAAUAUUGCUUUAAGAGAUUGUCUUUUGAUGAUUCUGAAACAGCAAGAUCUGAUCUCCUGGGAUUUUGUGAUAUGGCAUUCGAUUACACUUUGGAAGAACAAGGUCAGAGCUUUGUUGUAAAGUUGAAAAUUAUUGUGGUCUUGAGGAUUGAGCAAAAUAAUUAAAGAAAAUGUUGUUUGAUAAUA